RNAcentral lists this long non-coding RNA (681 nucleotides) under Homo sapiens (human). RNAcentral's name for it is "ZNF433 and ZNF878 antisense RNA 1, transcript variant 2 (ZNF433-AS1)". Lineage: Eukaryota; Metazoa; Chordata; Mammalia; Primates; Hominidae. The record is from RNAcentral.
AAUCCGCCGGAAGGAGGGCGCAGCAUUGCCGGUCUUCUCAUUGCCUGGCUGCUAGAGGAAACCCGAAGUCGGGAUUCUUUCUUUCCUGCUCUGAGAGGGACCAGGUCCCUCCUCCGUAGCUUUUGUCUCUCUAUUGCCUGCGCCGUGUCCUGGACUGCUCACGGGAGUUCUGCAGGAGACGCCGGAAUAUCUGGAAGCUGAAAAAUGGAAAUAAAUGGAAAGACCAGAAUAUUGAAGAUCACUACAGAAAUCUAAGGUGACUCCCACGACCAGUGCGGGUCACAGCACAGGCGACAGAAGCUAUGGCAGAGGCACCUGAACCCUCUCGGAGGGGAAAGCCAGGCUCCCAACCUCAGCUCGCCGCCUGGAGCCGGGAACCGAGGAGAGCAGGGCCUUCGCCCUCCCCGAUGGACACUCGGCAGGCCCCGCCCAGCGCCCCUGAUUGGACGAAGCGCCGGGCCCCGCCCCCUCAGCCUUUUGAGUCAGGGUCUCACCCUGUGGCCCAGGCUGCCCUCCAGUGAUGCCAUCAUGACUCAGUGCAACCUCAAACUCCCAGGUUCAAGCGAUCUUCCAUCCUGACCUCCAAAAGGGCUGGAUUAUACACAUAAGCCAUGUCACACUUUAUAUGUUUCUAGGGAAGCUUUUCUAAGAAUAAAUACAUUGGAACUAAAAAAAAAAAAA